Molecule: long non-coding RNA, 1721 nt
Filed under: Pan troglodytes (chimpanzee)
Lineage: Eukaryota; Metazoa; Chordata; Mammalia; Primates; Hominidae
Description: long non-coding RNA NONPTRT015378
Source: RNAcentral
UGAGAAUUUACUGUACAGUUUUUUUAAACAAUUUAUUUAUAUGUUGGCUUCUACAUGCUCUUACAUUCGUGUAAACAUUUAUACAUAUUCUUUACAAUUUGUACAUAUAUCAAAUGGCUAUAGCAUAAACAUUGUUCUAUGGGAUUUUAUAGAAGAAAAAUCAAGUGGGGAGAAUUACUUAUGAAACAUUAACAAAAACCCGUGAUAUUGAAGAACAACAUGUUCUCAUAUUCAUUUGAUUUCAUCUACUUAUUUUUGGUGUCAUUUUAUUGAUGCUGGCCCAGACUUUCCAUUUCCCGUAAUUAUUAGGUCAGAAAAAUGAAAGCAGCGGGAGGGAACGCGGUAAGGCACCUGUGGGAGACGGGAGCGCUCCUCCGCAGGGGUGAGACGGUGGCUGCCAGUGUUGAGUUCGAGCUGACGGUGUGCCAAGGUCCUGUUUUGCUUUAUGCCGUUAAGUGAAGCGCUGGAAGUGCUGGUGCUCAGAAACACCCUGUGUGAAGUUUCGGAUGUAGUCAGGAAGGGCGCUGGUCUAUUCUCUCUCUCCAACCUCAGAGCGCUGGGGACUCUGUACACUGCUGAGGCUGCAGCCCUUCUCAGUCCCUACACUUUUCCAUCUAAUGGGGAGCUAACCUGUGCUUUUUCUCUUUGCUGAUUACACCAACUGGCCAUGAACCCGCCACCCAAGCCAAGCAGUGUGCCGUGCCCGCAGCAGCGCUUCUCAUCACGGUGGAUGAGGAGCCAAAGAAUAAGAAAGGGCCAGAGACGCCGGGGUGCUGGGUGCCCUCCUUCCCCCAGGCCCUCCCGAGCACAGGCCUCCGCACAGCCACUCACCCGUCGGACCAAAGCCACAAAAUUCUCUACAAAGUCCCUCAAUUCUUCUAAUGUAUUCUUCAUGGCAUAAAACAUGCCUUAACCAAGAUUAGGAAGGAAGUGCAAAGAGAGAAAGCACUGGUCCUCACAUAAGAGCAGCACAUCAGAAAUGACGCUGAGGACACGGGUGGCCAGGGGUAUCUGCUCAUCUGCCAGGCUGUGGGGUCCCCCUGGAGGGACAUGGGAUGGCCCACCUGCCACACACCACGAUGGCACUAGCAGCCCCAGGGGCCCCCAGCGUCCUCCCUCUUGAAGUGUAAGCACUUGAGCUGUAACUGUGGCAGUGAAAGGCGUAACGACUUCCCUCAAUGAUAGGAGCCCCAGAGGACUGAAAGGAGUUAUAAAAAUAUACAAACAUAGAUAUUUUUUAUUCUGGCAUAGUUCAUAUUUUUAAGAAAGUAAUUAGUAAUUAAUUAUCUGACACUGGGUAAGAACUGGAAGAUUGUGGGAGACUUAUAAAUUAUAUAAGACUUAUAAUUUAUAAGACAUAUAAAUUAUGACUCUAUGUAAAAUAUCAGUGGGGAGAAGCCCCUCAUUUUCCACUGAAAAUUCUGGUAACUUUUAAGUACUUUCCAAAAAUAGAGACAAUUUCCACUGGUUUAAAUAAUGGAUGGGGAAAUGAACAAAAGACCAUCCCUAAAUAACUGACGCAUUUAGGGUGGCUAAUAAAAUAAAUGCAGUUUUUUGCAACUCUUUCUUUUUGGUUUUGUUUCCUUUUUUUUCUGAAUCAUAGGGGAAAAAAAGUUUUGAAUUGCAUUGCCCCAAGUCAGGAGAAAGCACGCGGCAUUCUCUUCAAGGCCCGUUCUGUCCUACAUCACUGGAAAGCGGCUGAGGGCCUGCCUCAGCUUUUC